GAGGGUAUAGCUCAAAUGGUAGAGCACAUGCUUAGCAUGCACAGGGUCCUGGGCUCAAUCCCCAGUACCGCUA
Camelus ferus (Wild Bactrian camel) is the source of this 73-nucleotide transfer RNA. It matches the Rfam family "tRNA". From Rfam's summary of the family: Transfer RNA (tRNA) molecules are approximately 80 nucleotides in length. Their secondary structure includes four short double-helical elements and three loops (D, anti-codon, and T loops). The record is from Rfam. Lineage: Eukaryota; Metazoa; Chordata; Mammalia; Artiodactyla; Camelidae.